This 612-nucleotide ribosomal RNA is filed under the name Triticum aestivum (bread wheat). Its description in RNAcentral is "partial small subunit ribosomal RNA". Lineage: Eukaryota; Viridiplantae; Streptophyta; Magnoliopsida; Poales; Poaceae. The record is from RNAcentral.
AUGUUCUUUGAUGGAUCCAAAAUGCUGAAUGGUUUUGGUGCUGGGGUAGUACUGGUAUCCCCACGAGGAGACAAGCUCAGAUAUGUCCUCCAGAUUCACUUUGAUUCCUCCAACAAUGAAGUAGAAUAUGAAGCACUUCUAUAUGGGUUGCGCAUGGCCAUCUCACUCGGCGUCCGUCGCCUCAUGGUCUACGGCGACUCAGAUUUGGUAGUCAAUCAAGUGAUGAGGGAGUGGGACGUCAGAAGCCCAGCCAUGACUGGUUACUGCAACGCAAUGAGGAAGCUGGAAAAGAAAUUUGAGGGGUUAGAGCUCCAUCACAUACCCCGACUGAAAAAUCAAGCAGCCGAUGACUUGGCAAAGAUAGGUUCCAAGAGAGAAGCCAUUCCCAACAAUGUGUGUUUGGAGCAUAUUCACACGCCGACAGUUCAGGAAGAUCCUUUUACUGAAGAGCCCCCGCAACCUAAGAGCGCCACAGACCUGACUGAAGUUGAGGUCCCAGCCAUGGUCGACCUGAUCAUGGAGGUUCUGGCCAUUACUCCCGACUGGAUAGUGCCGUACGUUGCGUACAUCCUUAGGAAAGAACUCCCAGAGGACGAGGAAGAGGCUCGAUAG